AUUGAACGCUGGCGGCAUGCCUUACACAUGCAAGUCGAACGGCAGCACGGGAGCGAUCCUGGUGGCGAGUGGCGAACGGGUGAGUAAUAUAUCGGAACGUGCCCAGUCGUGGGGGAUAACGUAGCGAAAGCUACGCUAAUACCGCAUACGAUCUAUGGAUGAAAGCGGGGGAUCGCAAGACCUCGCGCGAUUGGAGCGGCCGAUAUCAGAUUAGGUAGUUGGUGAGGUAAAGGCUCACCAAGCCGACGAUCUGUAGCUGGUCUGAGAGGACGACCAGCCACACUGGGACUGAGACACGGCCCAGACUCCUACGGGAGGCAGCAGUGGGGAAUUUUGGACAAUGGGCGCAAGCCUGAUCCAGCAAUGCCGCGUGCAGGAUGAAGGCCUUCGGGUUGUAAACUGCUUUGUACGGAACGAAACGGUGAGCUCUAAUACAGUUUGCUAAUGACGGUACCGUAAGAAUAAGCACCGGCUAACUACGUG
This 483-nucleotide ribosomal RNA is filed under the name uncultured bacterium. RNAcentral's name for it is "bacterial SSU rRNA". It matches the Rfam family "Bacterial small subunit ribosomal RNA", at positions 30 to 507 of the family's 1533-position model. The record is from RNAcentral.